AUUGGGAUUAUCGCCGCACCGCGCACAGCGCGCGGCGCCAUCCGCUCGAGCCAAUGCGGCCGAGUUUAAUGCGCCAUCACUUGCCGGAUGCGCGCACCGUG
Molecule: unclassified non-coding RNA, 101 nt
Filed under: fungal sp.
Lineage: Eukaryota; Fungi
Description: partial internal transcribed spacer region
Source: RNAcentral